GGACUACCGGGGUAUCUAAUCCUGUUUGCUCCCCGCACUUUCGCGCCUCAGCGUCAGUCAUUGGCUAGAAGUUCGCCUUCGCCACCGGUGUUCUUCCUGAUAUCUACAGAUUUCACCCCUACACCAGGAAUUCCAACUCCCCCUCCAUGACUCUAGUUCUCCAGUUUCCAACGCAGUCCAUGAGUUAAGCUCAUGCCUUUCACGCCAGACUUGACGAACCGCCUACGCGCCCUUUACGCCCAAUAAUUCCGAACAACGCUCGCCCCUUACGUGUUACCGCGGCUGCUGGCAC
Molecule: ribosomal RNA, 292 nt
Filed under: uncultured bacterium
Lineage: Bacteria
Description: partial 16S ribosomal RNA
Source: RNAcentral